Molecule: ribosomal RNA, 116 nt
Filed under: Pteropus alecto (black flying fox)
Lineage: Eukaryota; Metazoa; Chordata; Mammalia; Chiroptera; Pteropodidae
Source: RNAcentral
GUCUACGGCCACGCCACCCUGAACAAGCCCGAUGUCUGAUCUCGGAAGCUAAGCAGGGUCGGGCCUGGUUAGUACUUGGAUGGGAGACCACCUAGGAAGACCAGGUGCUGUCGGCG